CCUACGGGAGGCUGCAGUGAGGAAUAUUGGUCAAUGGCCGGAAGGCUGAACCAGCCAUGCCGCGUGAAGGUCAGUGCCCUAUGGGCGUUAAACUUCUUUUGUGCGGGAGCAAUAAUGGUCACGUGUGGCCAGACGAGAGUACCGUACGAAUAAGCAUCGGCUAACUCCGUGCCAGCAGCCGCGGUAAUACGUAGGGAGCAAGCGUUAUCCGGAUUUAUUGGGUGUAAAGGGUGCGUAGACGGAGAAGCAAGUUAGUUGUGAAAUCCCUCGGCUUAACUGAGGAACUGCAACUAAAACUACUUCCCUUGAGUACUGGAGAGGAAAGUGGAAUUGCUAGUGUAGCGGUGAAAUGCGUAGAUAUUAGGAGGAACAUCAGUGGCGAAGGCGACUAUCUGGCACAUAACUGACGCUGAGGAGCGAAAGCGUGGGUAGCAAACAGGAUUAGAUACCCGGGUAGUC
This 459-nucleotide ribosomal RNA is filed under the name uncultured bacterium. RNAcentral's name for it is "partial 16S ribosomal RNA". It matches the Rfam family "Bacterial small subunit ribosomal RNA", at positions 338 to 795 of the family's 1533-position model. The record is from RNAcentral.